This 534-nucleotide ribosomal RNA is filed under the name Dorea formicigenerans. RNAcentral describes it as "partial 23S ribosomal RNA". It matches the Rfam family "Bacterial large subunit ribosomal RNA", at positions 1240 to 1780 of the family's 2925-position model. Lineage: Bacteria; Bacillati; Bacillota; Clostridia; Lachnospirales; Lachnospiraceae. The record is from RNAcentral.
UCUAAGUGCAGUGAAGUCAGACCGGAAGGACUGGUGGAGCGCUUAGAAGUGAGAAUGCCGGUAUGAGUAGCGAAAGACGGGUGAGAAUCCCGUCCACCGAAUGCCUAAGGUUUCCUGAGGAAGGCUCGUCCGCUCAGGGUUAGUCAGGACCUAAGCCGAGGCCGACAGGCGUAGGCGAUGGACAACAGGUUGAUAUUCCUGUACCACCUCUUUAUCGUUUGAGCAAUGGAGGGACGCAGAAGGAUAGAAGAAGCGUGCGAUUGGUUGUGCACGUCCAAGCAGUUAGGCUGAUAAGUAGGCAAAUCCGCUUAUCGUGAAGGCUGAGCUGUGAUGGGGAAGCUCCUUAUGGAGCGAAGUCUUUGAUUCCCCGCUGCCAAGAAAAGCUUCUAGCGAGAUAAAAGGUGCCUGUACCGCAAACCGACACAGGUAGGCGAGGAGAGAAUCCUAAGGUGUGCGAGAGAACUCUGGUUAAGGAACUCGGCAAAAUGACCCCGUAACUUCGGGAGAAGGGGUGCUUUCUUAACGGAAAGCCGC